CCUACGGGAGGCAGCAGUGGGGAAUAUUGGACAAUGGGGGCAACCCUGAUCCAGCCAUGCCGCGUGUGUGAAGAAGGCCCUCGGGUUGUAAAGCACUUUCAGUGAGGAAGAACGCCUGGUGGUUAAUACCCAUCAGGAAAGACAUCACUCACAGAAGAAGCACCGGCUAACUCCGUGCCAGCAGCCGCGGUAAUACGGAGGGUGCGAGCGUUAAUCGGAAUUACUGGGCGUAAAGCGCGCGUAGGUGGCUUGAUAAGCCGGUUGUGAAAGCCCCGGGCUCAACCUGGGAACGGCAUCCGGAACUGUCAAGCUAGAGUGCAGGAGAGGAAGGUAGAAUUCCCGGUGUAGCGGUGAAAUGCGUAGAGAUCGGGAGGAAUACCAGUGGCGAAGGCGGCCUUCUGGACUGACACUGACACUGAGGUGCGAAAGCGUGGGUAGCAAACAGGAUUAGAUACACGUGUAGUC
Molecule: ribosomal RNA, 465 nt
Filed under: Vreelandella stevensii
Lineage: Bacteria; Pseudomonadati; Pseudomonadota; Gammaproteobacteria; Oceanospirillales; Halomonadaceae
Description: partial 16S ribosomal RNA
Rfam family: Bacterial small subunit ribosomal RNA
Source: RNAcentral